CCUACGGGUGGCAGCAGUGAGGAAUAUUGGUCAAUGGGCGCGAGCCUGAACCAGCCAAGUAGCGUGAAGGAUGACUGCCCUACGGGUUGUAAACUUCUUUUAUAAAGGAAUAAAGUGAGGCACGUGUGCCUUUUUGUAUGUACUUUAUGAAUAAGGAUCGGCUAACUCCGUGCCAGCAGCCGCGGUAAUACGGAGGAUCCGAGCGUUAUCCGGAUUUAUUUGGUUUAAAGGGAGCGUAGAUGGGUUGUUAAGUCAGUUGUGAAAGUUUGCGGCUCAACCGUAAAAUUGCAAUUGAUACUGGGAGUCUUGAGUACAGUUGAGGUAGGCGGAAUUCCUGGUGUAGCGGUGAAAUGCGUAGAUAUUAGGAGGAACACCAGUGGCGAAGGCGGCCUGCUGGGCUUUUACUGACGCUGAGGCUCGAAAGUGUGGGGAGCAAACAGGAUUAGAUACCCUAGUAGUC
This 460-nucleotide ribosomal RNA is filed under the name uncultured bacterium. RNAcentral's name for it is "partial 16S ribosomal RNA". It matches the Rfam family "Bacterial small subunit ribosomal RNA", at positions 338 to 795 of the family's 1533-position model. The record is from RNAcentral.